RNAcentral lists this ribosomal RNA (253 nucleotides) under uncultured bacterium. Its description in RNAcentral is "partial 16S ribosomal RNA". It matches the Rfam family "Bacterial small subunit ribosomal RNA", at positions 524 to 776 of the family's 1533-position model. The record is from RNAcentral.
UACGUAGGGGGCAAGCGUUGUCCGGAUUUAUUGGGCGUAAAGAGCGUGUAGGCGGCCAUGCAGGUCCGUUGUGAAAACUGGAGGCUUAACCUCCAGACGCCGGUGGAAACCGCAUGGCUAGAGUCCGGAAGAGGAGAGUGGAAUUCCUGGUGUAGCGGUGAAAUGCGCAGAUAUCAGGAAGAACACCCGUGGCGAAGGCGGCUCUCUGGGACGUGACUGACGCUGAGACGCGAAAGCGUGGGGAGCGAACAGG